RNAcentral lists this ribosomal RNA (253 nucleotides) under uncultured bacterium. RNAcentral's name for it is "partial 16S ribosomal RNA". It matches the Rfam family "Bacterial small subunit ribosomal RNA", at positions 524 to 776 of the family's 1533-position model. The record is from RNAcentral.
UACGAAGGGGGCUAGCGUUGCUCGGAAUCACUGGGCGUAAAGGGUGCGUAGGCGGGUCUUUAAGUCAGGGGUGAAAUCCUGGAGCUCAACUCCAGAACUGCCUUUGAUACUGAAGAUCUUGAGUCCGGGAGAGGUCAGUGGAACUGCGAGUGUAGAGGUGAAAUUCGUAGAUAUUCGCAAGAACACCAGUGGCGAAGGCGGCUCACUGGCCCGGUACUGACGCUGAGGUGCGAAAGCGUGGGGAGCAAACAGG